GAAACCGUGUACGUACAAGCAGUGGGAGCACGCUUAGGCGUGUGACUGCGUACCUUUUGUAUAAUGGGUCAGCGACUUAUAUUCUGUAGCAAGGUUAACCGAAUAGGGGAGCCGAAGGGAAACCGAGUCUUAACUGGGCGUUAAGUUGCAGGGUAUAGACCCGAAACCCGGUGAUCUAGCCAUGGGCAGGUUGAAGGUUGGGUAACACUAACUGGAGGACCGAACCGACUAAUGUUGAAAAAUUAGCGGAUGACUUGUGGCUGGGGGUGAAAGGCCAAUCAAACCGGGAGAUAGCUGGUUCUCCCCGAAAGCUAUUUAGGUAGCGCCUCGUGAAUUCAUCUCCGGGGGUAGAGCACUGUUUCGGCAAGGGGGUCAUCCCGACUUACCAACCCGAUGCAAACUGCGAAUACCGGAGAAUGUUAUUACGGGAGACACACGGCGGGUGCUAACGUCCGUCGUGAAGAGGGAAACAACCCAGACCGCCAGCUAAGGUCCCAAAGUCAUGGUUAAGUGGGAAACGAUGUGGGAAGGCCCAGACAGCCAGGAUGUUGGCUUAGAAGCAGCCAUCAUUUAAAGAAAGCGUAAUAGCUCACUGGUCGAGUCGGCCUGCGCGGAAGAUGUAACGGGGCUAAACCAUGCACCGAAGCUGCGGCAGCGACGCUUAUGCGUUGUUGGGUAGGGGAGCGUUCUGUAAGCCUGUGAAGGUGUGCUGUGAGGUAUGCUGGAGGUAUCAGAAGUGCGAAUGCUGACAUAAGUAACGAUAAAGCGGGUGAAAAGCCCGCUCGCCGGAAGACCAAGGGUUCCUGUCCAACGUUAAUCGGGGCAGGGUGAGUCGACCCCUAAGGCGAGGCCGAAAGGCGUAGUCGAUGGGAAACAGGUUAAUAUUCCUGUACUUGGUGUUACUGCGAAGGGGGGACGGAGAAGGCUAUGUUGGCCGGGCGACGGUUGUCCCGGUUUAAGCGUGUAGGCUGGUUUUCCAGGCAAAUCCGGAAAAUCAAGGCCGAGGCGUGAUGACGAGGCACUACGGUGCUGAAGCAACAAAUGCCCUGCUUCCAGGAAAAGCCUCUAAGCAUCAGGUAACAUCAAAUCGUACCCCAAACCGACACAGGUGGUCAGGUAGAGAAUACCAAGGCGCUUGAGAGAACUCGGGUGAAGGAACUAGGCAAAAUGGUGCCGUAACUUCGGGAGAAGGCACGCUGAUACGUAGGUGAAGCGACUUGCUCGUGGAGCUGAAAUCAGUCGAAGAUACCAGCUGGCUGCAACUGUUUAUUAAAAACACAGCACUGUGCAAACACGAAAGUGGACGUAUACGGUGUGACGCCUGCCCGGUGCCGGAAGGUUAAUUGAUGGGGUUAGCGCAAGCGAAGCUCUUGAUCGAAGCCCCGGUAAACGGCGGCCGUAACUAUAACGGUCCUAAGGUAGCGAAAUUCCUUGUCGGGUAAGUUCCGACCUGCACGAAUGGCGUAAUGAUGGCCAGGCUGUCUCCACCCGAGACUCAGUGAAAUUGAACUCGCUGUGAAGAUGCAGUGUACCCGCGGCAAGACGGAAAGACCCCGUGAACCUUUACUAUAGCUUGACACUGAACAUUGAGCCUUGAUGUGUAGGAUAGGUGGGAGGCUUUGAAGUGUGGACGCCAGUCUGCAUGGAGCCGACCUUGAAAUACCACCCUUUAAUGUUUGAUGUUCUAACGUGGACCCGUGAUCCGGGUUGCGGACAGUGUCUGGUGGGUAGUUUGACUGGGGCGGUCUCCUCCUAAAGAGUAACGGAGGAGCACGAAGGUUGGCUAAUCCUGGUCGGACAUCAGGAGGUUAGUGCAAUGGCAUAAGCCAGCUUGACUGCGAGCGUGACGGCGCGAGCAGGUGCGAAAGCAGGUCAUAGUGAUCCGGUGGUUCUGAAUGGAAGGGCCAUCGCUCAACGGAUAAAAGGUACUCCGGGGAUAACAGGCUGAUACCGCCCAAGAGUUCAUAUCGACGGCGGUGUUUGGCACCUCGAUGUCGGCUCAUCACAUCCUGGGGCUGAAGUAGGUCCCAAGGGUAUGGCUGUUCGCCAUUUAAAGUGGUACGCGAGCUGGGUUUAGAACGUCGUGAGACAGUUCGGUCCCUAUCUGCCGUGGGCGCUGGAGAACUGAGGGGGGCUGCUCCUAGUACGAGAGGACCGGAGUGGACGCAUCACUGGUGUUCGGGUUGUCAUGCCAAUGGCACUGCCCGGUAGCUAAAUGCGGAAGAGAUAAGUGCUGAAAGCAUCUAAGCACGAAACUUGCCCCGAGAUGAGUUCUCCCUGACCCUUUAAGGGUCCUGAAGGAACGUUGAAGACGACGACGUUGAUAGGCCGGGUGUGUAAGCGCAGCGAUGCGUUGAGCUAACCGGUACUAAUGAACCGUGAGGCUUAACCUUACAACGCCGAAG
Molecule: ribosomal RNA, 2405 nt
Filed under: Shigella flexneri
Lineage: Bacteria; Pseudomonadati; Pseudomonadota; Gammaproteobacteria; Enterobacterales; Enterobacteriaceae
Description: partial 23S ribosomal RNA
Rfam family: Bacterial large subunit ribosomal RNA
Source: RNAcentral